RNAcentral lists this ribosomal RNA (1569 nucleotides) under Hylopetes phayrei (Indochinese flying squirrel). Its description in RNAcentral is "16S ribosomal RNA". It matches the Rfam family "Bacterial large subunit ribosomal RNA". The record is from RNAcentral. Lineage: Eukaryota; Metazoa; Chordata; Mammalia; Rodentia; Sciuridae.
ACAAAUUCUAGCCUAAAUAUUCCAAAAAUUUAAUAAUACUCUUCAAACAAACAAAACAUUUACCCUAAUAAAAGUAUAGGAGAUAGAAAUUAUCAUUUAGCGCUAUAGAGAUAGUACCGUAAGGGAAAGAUGAAAGAAUAAUUAAUAGUAAAACAAAGCAAAGAUAAGCCCUUUUACCUUUUGCAUAAUGAAUUAACUAGAAUAAACUUCACAAAAAGAAUUUCAGCCAAGUACCCCGAAACCAAACGAGCUACCUACGAGCAAUUAAUAAGAAUCAACCCAUCUAUGUAGCAAAAUAGUGGGAAGACUUGCAGGUAGAGGUGAAAAGCCUACCGAGCUUGGUGAUAGCUGGUUGUCCAGACUAGAAUCUCAGUUCAACUUUAAACUUACCUAAAGCACUAGUAAUCUUAAUGUAAGUUUAAUUGUUAAUCUAAAGAGGUACAGCUCUUUAGACAAAGGAAAUAACCUUAUUUAGAGAGUAAUUUUUAUUCAUUACCAUAGUUGGCCUAAAAGCAGCCACCAAUUAAAAAAGCGUUCAAGCUUAACUCAACUAACAUGAUUUAAUUCUAAAACCCAACAGAACCUCCUAAAUCAUAACUGGACUAAUCUAUAUAAAUAUAGAAGCAAUAAUGUUAAUAUAAGUAACAAGAACAAUAUUUCUCCCUGCAUAAGUUUAUAUCAGACCGAAUAAUUCACUGAUAGUUAACAGGCAUAUAAUAUUAUACACAAAAUAAACUCUUAUUAUUUACCUCUGUUAGCCCAACACUGGAAUGCACUCAGGGAAAGAUUAAACAAAGUAAAAGGAACUCGGCAAACACUAACCCCGCCUGUUUACCAAAAACAUCACCUCUAGCAUUACUAGUAUUAGAGGCACUGCCUGCCCAGUGACAUAUGUUUAACGGCCGCGGUAUCCUGACCGUGCAAAGGUAGCAUAAUCAUUUGUUCCUUAAAUAGGGACUUGUAUGAAUGGCUUAACGAGGGUUUAACUGUCUCUUACUUUUAAUCAGUGAAAUUGACCUUUCCGUGAAGAGGCGGAAAUAAUCAAAUAAGACGAGAAGACCCUAUGGAGCUUAAAUUUACUAAUCUAGGCAUUCCAAUAACUCAUUCUACGGAACACUAAAUCAAGCCUUCAGAUUACAAAUUUUGGUUGGGGUGACCUCGGAGUAAAAUAUAACCUCCGAAUGAUGCUAGCCCAGACUAGACCAGUCUAUGCUUCUAUUCAUUAAUUGACCCAAACUUAUUGAUCAACGGAACAAGUUACCCUAGGGAUAACAGCGCAAUUCCACUCAAGAGUCCAUAUCGACAGUGGAGUUUACGACCUCGAUGUUGGAUCAGGACAUCCAAAUGGUGUAACCGCUAUUAAUGGUUCGUUUGUUCAACGAUUAAAGUCCUACGUGAUCUGAGUUCAGACCGGAGAAAUCCAGGUCGGUUUCUAUCUAUUAACAUAUUUCUCCCAGUACGAAAGGACAAGAGAAAUAAGGCCAAUUAUAUAUCUAUGCCUUAGACCUAACAAAUGAAACUAUUUUAAUUUGGUAGAACAUUACAAAAACCCACCCUAGACAAGGGCCU